GGUCUCCCAAUAAUUGAGAAAACUAGGCCAACACUUCCUUUUCUUGACCAAAAUCUAAAUGUAAGUACCACCAUUAAGGUUAUAUUGUUUCCUUUUUCUUUUCUAUUUCUACAACUCGUAUUCUCCUCCUCUUUUAUUCUGACUCAUAUUUUCGUUCAUUUUUGUCGAUUCGUUGAAGGCCGACUUGCAGUGUCUUCCCGGUUAGACCUUCUGUGAUUUGGUAAAAUUUAUUGAUAUACAUAUUGUUACAGAUAAUUGUGGUAUUUGCAUGAAUCUUAUUAUAGACCUUUAUUAGUGCUCGAAGUUUUUGUUAGAAUUUAUAGUUUUUAUGAAUUUAUGUUCUUUA
This 346-nucleotide long non-coding RNA is filed under the name Nicotiana tabacum (common tobacco). Its description in RNAcentral is "long non-coding RNA (NTAB_LNC005236)". Lineage: Eukaryota; Viridiplantae; Streptophyta; Magnoliopsida; Solanales; Solanaceae. The record is from RNAcentral.